Molecule: long non-coding RNA, 499 nt
Filed under: Malus domestica (apple)
Lineage: Eukaryota; Viridiplantae; Streptophyta; Magnoliopsida; Rosales; Rosaceae
Description: long non-coding RNA (MDOM_LNC015497)
Source: RNAcentral
AAAAGGAGAAACUCCUAGAAACAAAUUGAUUUCUCGAAUCGUUUUCGUACGACGGUUUGUAUCGACCUUAGUGCCCAUGCUCAAAAUAGGUCCUUCCAUCAACGUAAUAUUAAUUAUUACCUGGAAUUCCCCACCUCAUGGAUUUAUUAUCUCAACUUUGAUGGGUCAGUUUGUGGUAACAGUGCUGCUGCAGGUUUCAUCAUUAGAGAUUCCAACGGUCUCCCUCUUGUUGCCGGUACUGCUCCCAUGCGGUGUGAUGACGACCAAGGCUAUGGCCCUUCGGAUAGGUCUUGAGCAUGCUAAGAGAGCUGGAUUUUUAAAAGUUCCGUGAAACUAAUUUUCUUGCUCAUAUCCUCGUCAAUUUUGGUUUGUUCCGUCUCUUCUAAUCAUGUUUGGAUCAAUGUAGUUACUAAGAAUAGUAAAAAUUAGAUAUUGUUUGCACCCAAUGUCCUAGAGGCUUUGCUUUUUUAAUUUAAUUAUUCCUUUUAAAAGAAUAAUA